This 1343-nucleotide ribosomal RNA is filed under the name uncultured bacterium. RNAcentral's name for it is "16S ribosomal RNA". It matches the Rfam family "Bacterial small subunit ribosomal RNA", at positions 28 to 1378 of the family's 1533-position model. The record is from RNAcentral.
GACGAACGCUGGCGGCGUGCUUAACACAUGCAAGUCGAACGGAAAGGCCCUGCUUUUGUGGGGUGCUCGAGUGGCGAACGGGUGAGUAACACGUGAGUAACCUGCCCUUGACUUUGGGAUAACUUCAGGAAACUGGGGCUAAUACCGGAUAGGAGCUCCUGCUGCAUGGUGGGGGUUGGAAAGUUUCGGCGGUUGGGGAUGGACUCGCGGCUUAUCAGCUUGUUGGUGGGGUAGUGGCUUACCAAGGCUUUGACGGGUAGCCGGCCUGAGAGGGUGACCGGCCACAUUGGGACUGAGAUACGGCCCAGACUCCUACGGGAGGCAGCAGUGGGGAAUAUUGCACAAUGGGCGGAAGCCUGAUGCAGCAACGCCGCGUGCGGGAUGACGGCCUUCGGGUUGUAAACCGCUUUCGCCUGUGACGAAGCGUGAGUGACGGUAAUGGGUAAAGAAGCACCGGCUAACUACGUGCCAGCAGCCGCGGUGAUACGUAGGGUGCGAGCGUUGUCCGGAUUUAUUGGGCGUAAAGGGCUCGUAGGUGGUUGAUCGCGUCGGAAGUGUAAUCUUGGGGCUUAACCCUGAGCGUGCUUUCGAUACGGGUUGACUUGAGGAAGGUAGGGGAGAAUGGAAUUCCUGGUGGAGCGGUGGAAUGCGCAGAUAUCAGGAGGAACACCAGUGGCGAAGGCGGUUCUCUGGGCCUUUCCUGACGCUGAGGAGCGAAAGCGUGGGGAGCGAACAGGCUUAGAUACCCUGGUAGUCCACGCUGUAAACGGUGGGUACUAGGUGUGGGGUCCAUUCCACGGGUUCCGUGCCGUAGCUAACGCUUUAAGUACCCCGCCUGGGGAGUACGGCCGCAAGGCUAAAACUCAAAGGAAUUGACGGGGCCCCGCACAAGCGGCGGAGCAUGCGGAUUAAUUCGAUGCAACGCGUAGAACCUUACCUGGGUUUGACAUGGAUCGGGAGCGCUCAGAGAUGGGUGUGCCUCUUUUGGGGUCGGUUCACAGGUGGUGCAUGGCUGUCGUCAGCUCGUGUCGUGAGAUGUUGGGUUAAGUCCCGCAACGAGCGCAACCCUUGUUCACUGUUGCCAGCACGUUAUGGUGGGGACUCAGUGGAGACCGCCGGGGUCAACUCGGAGGAAGGUGGGGAUGACGUCAAGUCAUCAUGCCCCUUAUGUCCAGGGCUUCACGCAUGCUACAAUGGCUGGUACAGAGAGUGGCGAGCCUGUGAGGGUGAGCGAAUCUCGGAAAGCCGGUCUCAGUUCAGAUUGGGGUCUGCAACUCGACCUCAUGAAGUCGGAGUCGCUAGUAAUCGCAGAUCAGCAACGCUGCGGUGAAUACGUUCCCGGG